This 22-nucleotide microRNA is filed under the name Gadus morhua (Atlantic cod). Its description in RNAcentral is "Gmo-Mir-458_3p (mature (guide))". RNAcentral also lists the same sequence under 6 other names. Lineage: Eukaryota; Metazoa; Chordata; Actinopteri; Gadiformes; Gadidae. The record is from RNAcentral.
AUAGCUCUUUAAAUGGUACUGC